This 465-nucleotide ribosomal RNA is filed under the name Vreelandella stevensii. Its description in RNAcentral is "partial 16S ribosomal RNA". It matches the Rfam family "Bacterial small subunit ribosomal RNA", at positions 338 to 795 of the family's 1533-position model. The record is from RNAcentral. Lineage: Bacteria; Pseudomonadati; Pseudomonadota; Gammaproteobacteria; Oceanospirillales; Halomonadaceae.
CCUACGGGUGGCAGCAGUGGGGAAUAUUGGACAAUGGGCGAAAGCCUGAUCCAGCCAUGCCGCGUGUGUGAAGAAGGCCUUCGGGUUGUAAAGCACUUUCAGUGGGGAAGAAAGCCUUGGGGCUAAUACCCUCGAGGAUGGACAUCACCCACAGAAGAAGCACCGGCUAACUCCGUGCCAGCAGCCGCGGUAAUACGGAGGGUGCGAGCGUUAAUCGGAAUUACUGGGCGUAAAGCGCGCGUAGGCGGUCUGAUAAGCCGGAUGUGAAAGCCCCGGGCUCAACCUGGGAACGGCAUCCGGAACUGGCAGGCUAGAGUGCAGGAGAGGAAGGUAGAAUUCCCGGUGUAGCGGUGAAAUGCGUAGAGAUCGGGAGGAAUACCGGUGGCGAAGGCGGCCUUCUGGACUGACACUGACGCUGAGGUGCGAAAGCGUGGGUAGCAAACAGGAUUAGAUACCCGAGUAGUC